This is a ribosomal RNA of Holospora obtusa F1, 2749 nucleotides long. It matches the Rfam family "Bacterial large subunit ribosomal RNA". Lineage: Bacteria; Pseudomonadati; Pseudomonadota; Alphaproteobacteria; Holosporales; Holosporaceae. The record is from Rfam.
AAUCAAGCGUUAAAGAGCAUUUAGUGGAUGCCUUGGCAUUGAGAGGCGAUGAAGGACGUGAAAGACUGCGAAAAGCUGCGGGGAGGAGUCAAUAUCCAAUGAUCCGCGGAUAUCCGAAUAGGGAAACCUACCGCACAAGCGGUAUCUUAGUCUGAAUUCAUAGGACUUAAGAAGCGAACCCAGCGAACUGAAACAUCUAAGUAGCUGGAGGAAAAGAAAUCAACCGAGACUCCGAAAGUAGUGGCGAGCGAAAUCGGACCAGGCCAGAGCAGAUUUAGUUGGAACUAGAAUUUUUUUGGAAAAGAAAGCGAAAGAGGGUGAUAGCCCCGUAUAGGUAGCCGACUAGAAAUGACGAGAGUAGGGCGGGACACGAGAAAUCCUGUUUGAAGAUGGGGGGACCAUCCUCCAAGCCUAAGUACUCCUCAGUGACCGAUAGUGAACAAGUACCGUGAGGGAAAGGUGAAAAGUAUCCCGAUGAGGGAGGUGAAAUAGUAUCUGAAACUGAAUGCUUACAAUGCAGUCGGAGCAGCGAAUAGGCUGUGACGGCGUACCUCUUGUAUCAUGGGUCAGCGAGUUUGUUUGUGAAGCGAGCUUAAGUCGAUAGAUGUAGGCGAAGCGAAAGCGAGUCUUAAUAGGGCGUAUAGUUUCACGAAUAAGACCCGAAACCAGGUGAUCUAGCCAUGAACAGGCUGAAGGUGCGGUAAUACGUGCUGGAGGGCCGAACCAUAUGCUGUUGCAAAAGUUGUGGAUGAUUUGUGGUUAGGGGUGAAAGGCCAAUCAAACCUGGAAAUAGCUGGUUCUCCGCGAAAUCUAUUUAGGUAGAGCGUUGUAUGUUUCUUUUUGGGGGUAGAGCACUGAAUGGGCUAAGGGGAAGCGAUUCUUACUAAACCCAACCAAACUCCGAAUACCAAAAAGCAUAAGUACAGCAGACAGACGGCGGGCGAUAACGUCCGUCGUCGAAAGGGAAACAACCCUAACCACCAUCUAAGGUCCCUAAGUCAUCACUCAGUGGGUAAGGAGGUGGAUUGACCAAGACAGCUAGGAGGUUGGCUUAGAAGCAGCCAUCCUUUAAAGAAAGCGUAAUAGCUCACUAGUCUAAUUAAGUCGAUCUGCGCCGAGAAUGUAACGGGGCUAAAGUGAUGCACCGAAGAUGUGGGCUUUUCGAAAGGAAAGCGGUAGCGGAGCGUUCUGUAAGUCGUUGAAGAAAGAUUGUGAAGUCUUUUGGAGAUAUCAGAAGUGAGAAUGCUGACAUGAGUAACGUAAAGAAGUGUUAAAAACACUUCCGCCGAAAGUCCAAGGGUUCCUGUGCAAGGGUAAUCCGCACAGGGUAAGCCGGCCCCUAAGGCGAGGACGAAAGUCGUAGUCGAUGGGAAUCAGGUGAAUAUUCCUGAGCCAGCUGGAGAUGACGAAAGAAGUAGGGUGUUAGUUCUAAUUGGAUUGAGCUAGCUACGUAUUUUUUUCCAGGAAAUAAUCCCAGCAAUAGACCGUACCCCAAACCGACACUGGUGGACAAGUAGAGUAUACUAAGGCGCUUGAGAGAAUGAUGUUGAAGGAACUCGGCAAAUUGACUCCGUAACUUCGGGAUAAGGAGUACCUUAAUGGGGGAAACCCUGUUGAGGUGACACAUAAGAGGGAGUAGCGACUGUUUAACUAAAACACAGGGCUCUGCGAAGAAGAAAUUCGAUGUAUAGGGUCUGACGCCUGCCCGGUGCUGGAAGGUUAAGAGGAGGUGUGCAAGCACCGAAUUGAAGCCCCAGUAAACGGCGGCCGUAAAUCUAACGGUCCUAAGGUAGCGAAAUUCCUUGUCGGGUAAGUUCCGACCUGCAUGAAUGGCGUAACGACUUCUCCACUGUCUCCAACAUCAACUCAGUGAAAUUGAAUUCUCCGUGAAGAUGCGGAGUACCCGCGGUUAGACGGAAAGACCCCGUGCACCUUUACUAUAGCUUUGCAUUGGUACAAGGUAGAUUCUGUGUAGGAUAGGUGGGAGGCUUUGAAGCAUUGGCGCUAGCUGGUGUGGAGCCGACCUUGAAAUACCACCCUGAAUCUAUUUGGUAUCUAACUGAGCGCUGUAUAACCAGCGCCAGGACCAUGCAUGGUGGGUAGUUUGACUGGGGCAGUCGCCUCCUAAAUUGUAACGGAGGCGCGCGAUGGUAAGCUCAGGCUGGACAGAAAUCAGCUGUAGCGUGCAAUGGCACAAGCUUGCCUGACUGUAAGACUUACAAGUCGAACAGAGACGAAAGUCGGUCAUAGUGACCCGGUGAUCCCUCAUGGAAGGGUCAUCGAUCAACGGAUAAAAGGUACGCCGGGGAUAACAGGCUUAUCCCUCCCAAGAGUUCUUAUCGACGGGGGGGUUUGGCACCUCGAUGUCGGCUCAUCGCAUCCUGGGGCUGGAGAAGGUCCCAAGGGUUUGGCUGUUCGCCAAUUAAAGCGGUACGUGAGCUGGGUUCAGAACGUCGUGAGACAGUUCGGUCCCUAUCUGCCGUGGGUGUUAGAAAAUUGAGAGGAUCUUUCCCUAGUACGAGAGGACCGGGAUGGACGUACCUCUGGUGUACCAGUUGUUUUGCCAAAAGCAGUGCUGGGUAGCUAUGUACGGACUAGAUAACCGCUGAAAGCAUCUAAGCGGGAAACUAACCUCAAAACUAAUUUUCUCUAUGAGGACUGUGGUAGACUACCACGUUGAUAGGCUGAGUGUGUACGAAGGGUAACCUUUUUAGCUAAUCAGUACUAAUCGUCCCAUUGGCUUGAUUUA